UAGGGAAUAUUGGUUAAUGGGCGAAAGCCUGAACCAGCAACGCCGCGUGCACGAUGACGGCCUUCGGGUUGUAAAGUGCUUUUUGGAGGGAAGAGGAAGGACGGUACCUCCAGAAUAAGUCUCGGCUAACUACGUGCCAGCAGCCGCGGUAACACGUAGGAGACAAGCGUUAUUCGGAUUUACUGGGCGUAAAGCGCGUGCAGGCGGUCUGACAAGUUGGAUGUGAAAGCUCCUGGCUUAACUGGGAGAGGUCGUUCAAAACUAUCAGACUAGAGAGUGGUAGAGGAAGGCGGAAUUCCGGGUGUAGUGGUGAAAUGCGUAGAUAUCCGGAGGAACACCAGUGGCGAAAGCGGCCUUCUGGACCAAUUCUGACGCUCAGACGCGAAAGCUAGGGUAGCGA
RNAcentral lists this ribosomal RNA (400 nucleotides) under uncultured bacterium. Its description in RNAcentral is "bacterial SSU rRNA". It matches the Rfam family "Bacterial small subunit ribosomal RNA", at positions 355 to 771 of the family's 1533-position model. The record is from RNAcentral.